This 40-nucleotide ribosomal RNA is filed under the name Porites lobata. RNAcentral's name for it is "partial 28S ribosomal RNA". Lineage: Eukaryota; Metazoa; Cnidaria; Anthozoa; Scleractinia; Poritidae. The record is from RNAcentral. RNAcentral also lists the same sequence under 3 other names.
UCUUGACCUCAGAUCAGGCAAGGCUACCCGCUGAAUUUAA